Molecule: transfer RNA, 73 nt
Filed under: Camelus bactrianus (Bactrian camel)
Lineage: Eukaryota; Metazoa; Chordata; Mammalia; Artiodactyla; Camelidae
Also listed under: 2 other names
Rfam family: tRNA
About the family: Transfer RNA (tRNA) molecules are approximately 80 nucleotides in length. Their secondary structure includes four short double-helical elements and three loops (D, anti-codon, and T loops).
Source: Rfam by way of RNAcentral
GAGGGUAUAGCUCAAGUGGUAGAGCCCACGCUUAGCAUGCAUGAGGUCCCGGGUUCAAUCCCCAGUAUCUCCU